CAGUGGCUCAAUUGGUAGAGCAGCGGUCUCCAAAACCGCGGGUUGGGGGUUCGAGUCCCUCCUGG
RNAcentral lists this transfer RNA (65 nucleotides) under marine eukaryotic metagenome. It matches the Rfam family "tRNA", at positions 5 to 66 of the family's 71-position model. Rfam says of the family: Transfer RNA (tRNA) molecules are approximately 80 nucleotides in length. Their secondary structure includes four short double-helical elements and three loops (D, anti-codon, and T loops). The record is from RNAcentral.